This is an RNA transcript of Oryza brachyantha (malo sina), 2133 nucleotides long. It is a transcript of the gene named fatty acid amide hydrolase, with no coding region annotated. The record is from RefSeq and is a predicted model, not a curated record. Lineage: Eukaryota; Viridiplantae; Streptophyta; Magnoliopsida; Poales; Poaceae. The transcript has 20 exons.
GGAAGUCGUUGGGCGCCGGCCGUCACCAUUGUUGGUGUCCAAAAUUCUUCCUCCUCCAUUUGCAAUUUUGCAGUGGCAGCUGCCGGUGCAGGAGGAGAUGGGGAAGACGAAGCCGCGCGCCAUGAGGGCGGUGGAGGAGGUGGACAUCUCGGCGGUGAGGUACGAGUCGCCGUCUCUGCAGGCGCCGCACCUGAGCGGCUUCUCCCUGAGGGCCUUCGUGUGGCUCAUGGAGUCGCCCAUCUUGGGCCGCCUCCUCACCUCCAUCCUCAAGUCGCAGAACAACAUCACGCGGAUGCUGCAGGAUACGGUGAUCCCCGAGCGCCCCAUGUACCGCCCGGAGUACCCGCCGCAGGAGGCGGAGCAUGGCGUCGUUGUUCUCGGGGAUGACACAGACCCUGUGGUGAGAGUUGAGCGAGCGCUUCAGCUCCUCCCUCCCCACACCUUCAACCCCUCUCCUCUGCCUUUCCUCUACUGGAGGAUUCGUGAUUUUGCACACGCUUACCGCUCCGGGAUUACAACCCCGUCCCUUGUUGCCGACCAUAUCAUCGCCGCCGUGGAGGAGUGGAGCAACAGGAAGCCUCCCAUGCCUAUGUUGAUUUAUUUUGAUGCGGAUGAUCUCAGGAAACAGGCUGAAGCUUCCACCAAGAGAUUUCACCAAGGAAACCCGAUUUCCAUCUUGGACGGCAUCUUUAUCGCCAUCAAGGAUGACAUUGACUGCUUCCCAUAUCCAUCAAAGGGUGCUACUACAUUUUUCGACAAAAUCCGCUCCGUGGAAAAAGACGCAGUCUGUGUUGCCCGUUUGCGGAAAUGUGGAGUGCUAUUUAUCGGGAAAGCAAAUAUGCAUGAGCUAGGACUUGGAGUAACUGGAAACAAUCCAAACUAUGGAACAGCAAGAAAUCCACAUUCAAUUGAUAGAUAUACUGGUGGUUCUUCAUCUGGACCAGCUGCACUAGUCUCAUCAGGGUUAUGCUCAGCAGCAAUUGGAACAGAUGGUGGAGGUUCUGUUAGAAUUCCAUCUGCACUUUGUGGCAUUGUUGGUUUGAAGACAACCUAUGGACGAACAGAUAUGACUGGGGCACUUUGUGAUUGUGGGACCGUUGAAGUCGCCUCUCCUCUAGCUUCUUCAGUGGAGGAUGCAAUGCUAGUGUAUUCUGCAAUAGCAGGCUCUAGACCUAUGGAUAAACUUACCCUGAGACCAUCACCACUCUGUGUCCCUAAUUUGGUGUCUCCUGACAACAACAGUAUAUUGGGAUCUGUGAAAAUAGGAAAAUAUACAGAGUGGUUUCAUGAUGUUUCUGAUCCUGAUAUCUCUAAUACAUGUGAGGAUGCACUUAAUCUUCUUUGCAGCAACUUUGGAUGUCAAAUAGAAGAAAUAAUACUACCAGAGCUUGAGGAGAUGCGUACUGCCCAUGUUGUCUCAAUUGGCACAGAAUCAUUCUGCGACCUGAAUCCUCACUACAGAGCAGGAAAACGAACUGAAUUUACGCUAGAUACUCGAACAAGUUUGGCACUUUUUGGAUCAUUCACUUCAACUGACUAUGUUGCUUCUCAACGAAUAAGGAGAAGGAUAAUGUACUAUCACAAUGAAGCUUUCAAGAAGGUUGAUGUCAUAGCGACCCCUACAACUGGCAUUACUGCUCCUAAAAUACCGCAAAGUUCUCUAAAGUUAGGAGAGUCUGAUUAUGUUGUGUCAGCUUACCUGAUGCGAUUUGUGAUAGCUGGCAAUCUUCUUGGUUUGCCAGCCAUAACUGUACCUGUUGGUCAUGACAAGCAAGGGCUUCCUAUCGGCUUGCAACUGAUAGGUCGUCCAUGGGGCGAGGCUAGCUUAUUAAGGGUGGCUUCUGCAUUGGAGGAGUUGUGUCUGAACAAGCGGAAACGGCCGUCUGCAUUUCAUGACAUCCUCAAGGUCUGAAUGCCGAAUUACAUAUGUAUCCAUCAAUAAUUUAUGGGCUGUCUCGAGAAACUUGGGGUGACGCACAUUUGCAUGGGCAGUCGUUAGCGUUGUGUUGUUGGGUCUGCGUUUACCAAGUUGAAAGAAACGGACUGUUGAGAAUUUACAUUGACUAGUUAUGUACCGUGUGUUGCUACGGAACUACCUCCGACAAGGAAACAUGUCUUCCUGAAAUUCUUUCA